GGAGUACAUCAUUUUAGGGUUUACGGCAAGCAAGUUUAUAGCUUUAAAGAAAUAGAAGUUAAAGAUGUAGAGAAACAGAAGCAAGCUAUGAUAUUUUUACUAAAAUCAAUUGUGAACGAGAACAAGAACCAGGGCGUCAAUGCAAAGGUAGUGCCAUUCAAUAAAAACAUAAACUUACUACUAAUUAUAAAAGAUCACCCUUCUUCCUCUGAAUCUCCUACCAAAUUGGUUACCACACAACACCGAAACUGCAAACGUAAAGCUCUGAUCAAAUGCAAAUUUCCAAGACAGAAUAAGCAAGGAAACGCUAAAAAACUCUCCAAAUUAUACUAAAGCCAAAACAUUAAUAAAGAAAUAUUACUAAAGGGAAUGACAUGAAGCCAUCAUGGGCUGGGCCAGGCCAGGCCCAAAAAUUUUUCAGGCCGCUCCCUAUGCCCGGGCCGGGGCCCAGCCCGUUGAAAAAAUAUGAAGCCCGGGCCCAACCCGGCCCGACCCAUUUUUUUGGUCAAGCAGUAAACUAAAUUAAACCUUGAACAAAAAUUUUAGAAAAAGGAGAAAAUGGAGCAAAUCUUUUGACAUAUAAUGUAAAUUGCCCGCUAAUUUGUCGAAUUGAAGCAAUAGCUGCCAUUAUUAUAUCACAAAAUUAAUAUAUGAAGCUCUAAGACUCGAUUUCAGAGACUCGGAUGAUUCAUUCAUUUUGCUUAACAGAGAGAACGUUAAAGAUAAUCAAUAACAUAUCACAUAAUGUCUAGCAAACAAAAUGGUAGUUCAGUCCAAUCCUUGAAACCAGUAAAUUAGAGGUGUUCAUGGGCCGGGCCGGGCCCAAAAAUUUUCAGCCCACUUCCUAGGCCCAGGCCCAGCCCAAAAUAUGGGUCUGAGAUUUUGUCCAGGCCCGUCCUGGGGAAAAAAUAUGAAGCCCAGGCCCGGCCCGGCCUUUUUUUUUGCUUUGUUUAAAACUAAUUGUUAUUAAAAUUAUAUCAAAUUAUUUCUUUUUGUAUAUAAUGAACAAAAAAAUACAAUAAGAUUACUUAUUUUUUUCCAUUAGAUUAAAAUUCACUAACUAUUUAAUAAAUCACCAUUAGAUUAGAAUUCACUAACUAUUUAAUUAAUUAUGACCCGAUUAAGAAUAACAUCAACCGAAUAAAACACUUAAUACAUGUAAAUAGGGGUGAGCAUUCGAUCGAAUCGAAUCGAAAAUUUUCAAGUUAAUCGAGUUUUCGAAUCUCAUUUUAUCAUCCUAACUUUAUUUGAAAUUUUAUUGAAUCGAAUCGAGUGAGAUAGAAAUCGAAUCGAAUCGAAUCAAAUUAUUUGUUUGAGUUAAGUUUAAAAAUAAAAUAAAAUUAUUGUUGUUUAUUUUUAUGUAAUUGUUCAAAAAAUAAUUUUCUUUAAAGUUUUUAAACAUAAUCAUACAACAAAAAAUUGAAGUAAAUAAGUGAAUAAAUAAAAGUAACACAACAUCAACCCAAAUAAACAACAUGAUUCCAAAUAAAUAACAAACAUAAUACAAAAAGAUUAUAAUAAAAAACAUAAGUAAAAGUCCAAGUAAAUAGCAUGAGUCGAAAUAAACAACAUUAUAAUAAAAAAACAAAACAUAAGCAUCAAGCUUACUUGUCUUCAAUAAUCAAUUGUUUGAAAUUUACUAAAAAGUCAUCCAAAACUGCCAUUUCAUACUUCACAGUUUUAUUGAACAUAUAAACCAAUCAAAACUUGGGGGUUCAUAUCAGCUGCAAUCAACUUUGCUGUAAUUGCAAUCAACCUCAGUAUUUAUAGUAUUUUUGUGUGUGUAUAUUCAAGUGAAUUGGAUGAGUAAAAGAGAGACAGAAAUAAGGUAUAUAAAUGCCCAAACAUCAAAAGAACAAUGAGAUUAAUGAAAAAUUGUCUAUAGUCACAAUCAUCAAAUGCAAGUUCAACAAAUAGUUCCAUCCUUAACAUAAGUAAAAUCCUAAUACUGAAAUCAGAUGCUUCUGAACCUAGUUCACAAGCUGGAAGAACACAGAUCCAUAAAGUUAGACCACAAAUACAAUUUUGAAAGUUCAUGCUACAAUAUGUAGGACAACUAGGGAUUAUUAGAUACUGUUAAGUUGGCCGGUUGAACUAUAUUGUGAGAAAAACAAGGGAAUAGGGAUUUAACCGUGUAACGUUUUAUCCUUGCAGUAUGUUAGGAAGCCAGUCGACUUGAAUUAUAGAAAAAAGAUGGCUCUUUCACAUUCCAUAUACCUAGCCUCCCUUUACAAGAUCUGAAUCCAAAUCCUCCAAGUUGAAGUCCCAAGUUCUAAAAAUUAUAGUGUUCCUUUAUUCACUUGAAAUAAGGUUCACCUACAUGUUGGAGACACAAGGUGAGGGUGUUUUUAGCUUUGAAUCUAGUACCUUUCAUCCUGUUAUUUCCACCUAAUUUCAUCUUUCUAAGUUUGUUGAAUCCUUUAUGAAACAUAUCAACAGCAUGCGUGCUAAGGUUACAUUAAAGGUAGCUAUUUUAUGAAUUAUGAAGUUACAAUUAAUAUGCUUCUUCCAUUAGGAUUUAAAUACCGGUGGGAGUGUAAUAGUAUUGAAUUUAAAACAGUUAAACAUUCCAUCAAGAAAUUCUAUGUUAAACAGUUACAACUAAUAUGUAAGCCUUUUACAAGAGUAAUUAGCUAAAGGCAAAUGUGUAUACUGCAUCACAGAAAAAAGAACACAAUACAAUUAUGAAGACCAAAAAGCAGCAAAAGAGAAAAGGAAUAAAUCAAAUUUGGAUACAAUUAAACAAAUACGCAAGGACAGACAGGCAGACACAUAAACAUAUUGCUUACUUGUACAAGUGAAGGCUUAUAUCGCAGCUUCAGUUUGGGAAAGGCAUGCCCGUUAAACACUGGAGAUGUCUGAACUAGUAUAUCUGAAAAUCUGUCAUCUUCUUUUAACCAUUCAACAUAUGCAAAAGAAUGUUUUGAGGGCCCACUAUACUGCAAAAUGAAGGGGUACAGAAGAAAUUAUUAGUGGCAAAACAUGAACUACUCCUCCAAGGAAUCUGAUAGGCAUUAUGCACUGCAAACCAAGCUAUGCAACUUUCUAGCACUGCCAUCAAUAUCAAUCAUUUACUUGCAUUCAAGAAAUACUCUGCCCUUGUUUUUCCAAACAACAUACGACUUGAGUACUUUAAAAGGAAAGGAGGAAUGGGAGGGAAUGAAGAGAACAAAAAAGACCAAACUAUACUAUCUUCUACAAUUAAUCAAUAUGCUGGAAGGAACUAAGCACCAAGAGAGUGCUGAAUGAAGAUAGGAAAAAUAUGCCUGUACAUACAUGGAAAAGCAUAUGAGAACUAUAUGCAUUUUCAAUUACUAAAAUUUCUGUAGUUUAAAUUUGAAAAUAACUGUACAAGGUCAAAAAUGAAGCAAGCACUAGCAUUUGCAACCUAAUAUUUCAUUUUCGUUAGCAAAAAAAAAGGGAUAAAAAACACCCUUUUGUUUAGUCGAGCAUGAAAAAUCGAAUGAGCAGAAAAACAAUGUCGAUUCAUCACCAAAUUAUGGAGUGGUAGAAUACGACAGUAAUGACAAUGCUCAAAUCGCCUUGAAUAAUGGAAUGUAAUUAUUUGCUCAAUUAUUAAUUAAUAAAAAACGCAAGGGGCGACUGACAAAGUACCUGUGCGUUAAUCCCUUGUUCGUUUAUACAGAUUCGGCCAUGUAUGUCCAAACCCUGAAAAUAAAAUUGAAAAAAUAAAUAAAUGAAACGCCUGGUAGAGCAGAAGAAAGGAGUUUGGUUAUCGACGAUUUGAGUUUGGAUUUGAGUUUGGUUUAUGUACCGAAAACUAUAUCUGAGUUUCUGAAAGAAGUUUCGAAGAUCAAAAAUGGGUUUCAAAGGUUAUCCAAGAUUACGGAUUAUCUUCAAAGAUUGGAAGAUGAGAUGAAGAAAAUUGAUGGAUCAGUGUAAGGAGGAAGAAAUACAGUGUAAAGAAAUACAGUGUAAGGAAAGGAAUAAAAGUUAACAGACCUUUGAAAUUCAAAGGUAGAAGACGUAGAACGGUAGAAGCACUGCUCUAACCUCUGAUUCUGGAAUUGGGUGGAGCCGUGUGGAGGACCGGAGGUGGAUCGGUGGAGGUGGAUUGGGUAAAAAAGGGCAGAGGAAGAGGGCAUGGGCUGCUUAGGGAUUUUAGAAGUGAAUUUUGUUUUAAAUGUAGUGAAUUUUAAAAAUAAAAAAAUAUGGUUUAUAUUCGAAUUAUUUAAAUUAUUCCAAUUCGAAAAUUCAAUUCGAUUCGAACUCGAAAUUCGAAAAAAAUUCGAAUUGAUUCGAUUAACUCGAUUCGCUUAACUUAAAAUUCGAAUUUUUUUCGAAUCGAAUCGAAUUUUACUAACAGUUACAUGUAAACGCUCCAAAAUGUUUAUGGGAAUUGUAAAAGAAAUUUGCAAAUCCAAUAAAGGCAUAGGUUUCUUUUCUUUUCUUUUUUUUUUUUUUAUUUCCACUGGCAUGCAUGGCCAACAUAUCACUUUCUAGGCUUGUGAGUACACGACUUUCCCAAACCAUACAUAUUCACAAACAAGCAUUUCUGGGCCACUCAAUUUUGUCAUUUGCUUCGACUUAGAUAGCAUAAUUUGCAAUAAUUUCUUUCCCCAGAAUCAUAAUGCUUAAGAAUCAAAGUAUUCUGAUACAACCCUUUCAUACAUAUACUGUUUAUUUUCUGACCUAUUCUAUAGUCAUUUUCAAUAACAAGUAUCAAUUGAAUAUUCUCCAUAAAAUAUUAUAAGAACAAUUAGGGAAAAAUAAAACUGGGAAUCAGAUGUAAACAUGAAGAAAAAGAAAGCUAGGGAUUGAUUGGAAGCAUGCAACAAAUAACCAUCUGUAUACUUAAAAAAUUAAAAAUAAUUUGACAAAUUAUAGAAAAACACCCCAGGGUACGAACAUAACAUGUCUAAUAAGCUAAAUUAAAUUUUAAACAUUUAGAAAGAAAGAAUCUUAAAAUCUGCAACAUUUAGAAAGAAAGUAUCUUAAAAUUUAAAAAUUUAGAAAGAAAUUAAGCAAAAUACAACGCGAAAAUUAAGCAAAAUACAACGACAAUUAAGUAAAUUAAAAUCUGCUAAGAACUCAACACAUAGACAGACUUCUUUACCUUGAAUCCAAUUCAAACUGCAUAAAUUAGAACAUGUGUGUUGGCAACACAUUCUAACUCAACUGAAAUUCCAAAUCAAGUUUAUGGCUUAAAUUAUGAAUUAGCUUGAGAUUUGCUAUUGACUAAGUUGUAGACAUGCUCAAAUCACCUAAACUCAAAAUACUGAGUCAUCCCAAAACAUGCUCAAUAUCUCUACUUCUUCAAAAUACAACGCGAAAAUUAAACAAAAUACAACGGAAAUCAAGUGAAUUAAAAUCUGCUAAGCUCAAACCUUAUUUUAAUACCGCAGUCCGGAGAAAUAAGCAUAGGGUAAAACCAUUCUCAGGGCAUAGAAAUUAGAAUCGUAGAAAUCCAUCAUUCAGAUUAUAAAAGAAAAAAAUAAUAAUUAUUCAAUAAUCAAUAUCUCUACUUCUUUCCACAGAGGCACAGUCAUUAACGAAUAAAAUUAGCAACAUUAUUACCCAAAAAAAUCAAAAUAAUUAACAUAAAAAAUCUUAUGAACAUCAACGAAUCAAAAAAAAUUAUAUUAACAUUAUUACCCAAAAAAUCAAAAUAAUUAACAUAAAAAGUCUUUUUACCCUUAAAUGCCUGAUUCUGGAACUGGGUGCAGGACCGGAGGUAGCUUGAUGCCUUGAUUUUGGAAUUGGGAAAAAAAAGGAGGAGGGCACGAUAGGGUUAGGGAUUUGGAAGACUGUCGGGCAGUAAAGCAAAAGUUAAAAUUCUUGGAGGAGAAUAUCUUCUUCCCUCAGUGACAUCUCCCACACGUUUCCAUCAGGAGCUUUUGAUGUUGUUUCCCAAUCAUCAGGCUUAGUUUUUAACUCAAAAGAGCUUGGAACUCUUGAAUUCUCCAAGUCAGCAUUGGUAGAGUCAAAAAUCCUUCACAAUAUACAUUAUGUGUCAAAUCCCACAAGUACAGCAAUAAAUUGCUGGUAGAACCUAAAGAUGUUGUUAGCUAUGAUAUGAAGACAAGUUUCAAUAUGGAAAGUAACAGAAACCAAAAACCCUUCCAAAAUAUCACAUUAAACCAACAUAGCAAGGAAACAAAGUGUAUAAAAGAAAAGACAUACUCAGAGCAGCUAUCAAGCAAUCUAUCAAUAUCAUCCGCAGAAUCUCCCAAUUUAGCUUCUUCCAAUUUGUCAAUCUCCUUCAUCCACAACCCAGCAUGGAUUCUCUGCUUCUUCAACCUAUAAUCUUUCUUUAUGUUAUCCAAACUAUACAAUCCACCACCCUCUCCUUUCCCCUCCUUCUCUGCUUCCUCUUUCUGCUUCUGCUUAGGUGACUUUCGUCUCUCAUUCCAAUUCUCAUUCAUGUCUUCGACAAAUGCCUUGGUUUCAGCAUCGACGUCCGAUGAAAGCGCCAUUUUUGCUGAUUCUUCAUUAGAAGGGAAGUUAACAUCAGCUUCCCAAGGAGCUCUGUUCUUGGGAGAAAUGUCAUCAGGGAGCCAAGCUGUUUCCCAGGCAUCGUUCCAAGAGUCAUCUUUGCCAUUUUGAGGAGGUUUAGUGGAGAGAGUUUUGAAAAGGGAAGUCAGAUUCAAGUGGGGUUUACCAAAUUUCGAGUGAAUUCUGUACAUCACUGGCUUUGUGAUGGAUUUGGCAAUCCAAUUAAAGGAGUACAUCAUUUUAGGGUUUACGGCAAGCAAGUUUAUAGCUUUAAAGAAAUAGAAGUUAAAGAUGUAGAGAAACAGAAGCAAGCUAUGAUAUUUUUACUAAAAUCAAUUGUGAACGAGAACAAGAACCAGGGCGUCAAUGCAAAGCUAGUGCCAUUCAAUAAAAACAUAAACUUACUACUAAUUAUGAAAGAUCACCCUUCUUCCUCUGAAUCUCCUACCAAAUUGGUUACUACACAACACCGAAACUGCAAACGUAAAGCUCUGAUCAAAUGCAAAUUUCCAAGACAGAAGAAGCAAGGAAAAACUAAAAAACUCUCCAAAUCAUACCAAAGCCAAAGCAUUAAUAAAUAAAUAUUACUAAAGGGAAUGACAUGAAGCCA
RNAcentral lists this long non-coding RNA (7066 nucleotides) under Gossypium barbadense (sea-island cotton). Its description in RNAcentral is "long non-coding RNA (GBAR_LNC015132)". Lineage: Eukaryota; Viridiplantae; Streptophyta; Magnoliopsida; Malvales; Malvaceae. The record is from RNAcentral.